GAUGAACGCUGGCGGCGUGCCUAAUACAUGCAAGUCGAGCGAACGGACGAGAAGCUUGCUUCUCUGAUGUUAGCGGCGGACGGGUGAGUAACACGUGGAUAACCUACCUAUAAGACUGGGAUAACUUCGGGAAACCGGAGCUAAUACCGGAUGAUAUUUUGAACCGCAUGGUUCAAAAGUGAAAGACGGUCUUGCUGUCACUUAUAGAUGGAUCCGCGCUGCAUUAGCUAGUUGGUAAGGUAACGGCUUACCAAGGCAACGAUGCAUAGCCGACCUGAGAGGGUGAUCGGCCACACUGAAACUGAGACACGGUCCAGACUCCUACGGGAGGCAGCAGUAGGGAAUCUUCCGCAAUGGGCGAAAGCCUGACGGAGCAACGCCGCGUGAGUGAUGAAGGUCUUCGGAUCGUAAAACUCUGUUAUUAGGGAAGAACAUAUGUGUAAGUAACUGUGCACAUCUUGACGGUACCUAAUCAGAAAGCCACGGCGAACUACGU
RNAcentral lists this ribosomal RNA (496 nucleotides) under uncultured bacterium. Its description in RNAcentral is "partial 16S ribosomal RNA". It matches the Rfam family "Bacterial small subunit ribosomal RNA", at positions 28 to 506 of the family's 1533-position model. The record is from RNAcentral.